AUAAUUAGCCGAGUAUGCAAUACCUAAACAACAUGCCUGCUUGGCCCAGAGCCCCAUUCCUCAUGCAUACUUUUAUAGGUCAUGAGGUUAUUUAUAUUGCUGUUAUUUUUACAUUUCCUCAAUGCCAGGUGGUAACGUAAAUCCAGGAGUCCUGAGCCACGAUGUGUGGCCAAGUACGCGGUCGGUGUCAGCAACAUAUGUUUUCCUGGAGGGAAAUGGUUCCUCCUCACUUUCCCCAGAAGGCAAAGGUGAGAAGAUAACGUCCCUGCUCUUCUGUUGGGAGUGUUUCGUGUUGGUGACACCUACAGCCUGGAUGGUAAGCUAGUGGUGCCUGUCCUCUGCUAAAAAAGAAACAGCAAAAAUUAAAGAAAACAGAAAGAAAGAAAAAGAAAAAUUACAGCAGUGGUGGAUGUGAGGUCUUUUCAAAUCCCUUGCUCAGAACUCAUUACCAAUUUACCCAUCUAAAGUACUUAAUAACAAAAAAAGACACAGACCAGGGCCCAUCGGAACGAGCAUGAGUCAUCGACCUUGAGCAUUUUGCUGUGUCAACAUUUCACCAAGGAGAAACGUGGCAGGCCCGGGCCAGGCCACCCAAGGCGGUGGGAUGGACGUGGGGACCUUGAGAGCUCAGGGCAGCAGCCCUGCACCAGCUGGCAUCAAGACAUUUCCAUAUUUUAAUAAGAGUGUGGCAGCACCUGUGGACACCAGCUGAAGCAUAGCCCACCUGCCCACACUCACUGGCUCCCAGCCAGGAGCUCGGAGGCCUUGAAAAAUAAAUUUAAAAUAUCUAUGGAGAUUCAAAUUCUUCUCGAAAUUCUGGAAGAGCUACAUGGACCGUGUCUUUGAUAGCCGUAGCGGUUGCAUCUCUUUCUGGUGGUAGAUUGGCUGGAGUGACUAAUUCUUUACGUGCUCACGUGACCCAAUUUCCCCUGAUGGGCCACAGGGCAGGUGCCAGUCACUCAGGAAGGACAAAUGACUGGGACGCAGUAGAGAAAGGCUGAGCCUAAGCUUCCAGUGGAUUCACACUUCACCAGGGACCACAGGAAGACACCAUGAGGUGGCCAGGCAGGUCGGUGGUGGGGUUUCCCUUCUCCUAGCCUAGCUGUUAAUUUCUUAAGUAAUUAAUCAGCCCAGAUUAAUCACUUUUUUUUUGAGACAGAGUCUCGCCCUGUCGCCCAGGCUGGAGUGCAGUGCUGCAGUCUCGGCUCACUGCAACCUCCACCUCCAGGGUUCAAGUGAUUCUCCUGCCUUAGCCUCCCAAGUAGCUGGGACUACAGGCCCACACCACCAUGCCCGGCUACUUUUUGUGCUUUUAGUAGAGAUGGGGUUUGACCAUGUCGGCCAGGCUGAUCACAAACUCCUGACCUCAGGUGAUCGGACGGUCUUGGCUUCCCAAAGUGUUGAGAUGAGCCACCUCGCCCAGCCAGAUUAAUCAUUUCUAAAGUACGUAGGUUCACAUGUAAAUGAACAUAGAAAUAGCAAGAAAAAAAUCUAUCCUUUCUAUAUCUAUAUAUCUAUAGCUAUUCUGAUACAGUUACUCCAAAACAUAAUUUGAUCACGCCCUUUGAAAAAUCCUUUUACUGUGCAGGAUAAGGCACACAGUGGCUUCUAGCACACAAGAGGACAACCUCCUCUUGUUCUGAUGCUUUCUCUUUGGAGAUUUUGUUUCCUAUUUGCCCGUAUAAAUCCUCCCCUGUAGACCAGUGUUUCAGAGGACAUAUUUGUGAGCUGAGAAAUCAAUUUAGUGGGUCAUGACACGCACUUUAAAAUGAAAGAGAACAGAAUACCAUGAGUAAAAAUGCAGUGUUGAACGAGCGUCAUGGAUACGUCGUGUUUUGUGAAUCCCGAGUAGUAUCUCUAUGUAAAAUGUGAGUCUCGUCCCCUGGAUGCGUCGGAGUUUUCAAGUUUCCUUGCCAUGGUCUGCUUAAGAGAGAGCCCACAUUUCAUUUUAAAAAUCCAUACAAUUCCAUGCAAUGUCUGGCACCAAAUAGAUUCCUUGGAAUAAAUGAAUGAAGUGUGCCCUUCGUAUUUAGUGAUUUUUCCGAAACCUUUUUGAAAUUUUGAAGCAAACUGCAGAUAGUAAUAGGAAAUACUACUGCUAGUUUUAUCAUUUUGCCUGAAGUUAACCUCUGAUAUUUUGUAGCCUAGGAAGAACUACAUAUCCGGAGGCAUGCCAUAGGGUAGUUUUCUCACCUGAUAAAAGGAACGUUUGUUUCUAAAGCUAUUGCAGAGGGUUCCGAAGACAUGCUCAAUCCCCGCAGAAAUGGAAAUGUAUUCCGAUUAGCAGCUGUGCCACAUCACCGGGUGUUUUAAUGAUCAUCAGAUUAAAAAGACGUUUUUAUGAUCCCACAUCUCCAGAUAUAAAGCACAGAGCCUCUUUCCUGUGUCACUGUCCCUAACCUCUAAAUUAGAGAUAACUUCAAGCCUGGGUAAGUGAAUGGUGGCGACCCCCUACUAAGCUGCAACUACAUCAGUGAAAUUAAUGUUCACGAUUAGAGUUUUACUGUCUGGAAUGACAUGUAAGUGAUUCAACCAGAUCUCUAGUUGUGCUAAUGUUUAUGUGGUGCAAAUAGGGUGUGAUUAGAAGGAACUAGAACAACACCAAGAGUGUGCUCCUAUCUCCGAAAUCAAGGUCCCGUAGCUUCUCUUUCCUUAAAGACUGAAAUAGUUACUCGAAAGGCAAUUUAGCAAUUAAAAAUCUAAGGGGACUUUGUUACUAAGGGGGCUUUAUUACUGGUAAUAUAUACAAAGGUAGUUAAAUACCAAGAGACAGAGUCAAUCAAAUUCUCAUAAAAAAUUUUAAAAAUGUAUGCUAUUUUGCCUUAUAGGAUCUGCUGCUGGGCACUGGUUAUUUACUUAAGAAAGGAUCUGUGAACUGGCAGAAGUACGAUGGAGGCCACCUACUUUAAGUUGGUUGUUUGCACUCCUGUAUGUCCCCUCCAUCCUGCUGUUAAAGCCAGUCUGACCCCCUCCAGCACGUCAUCUCGCCUGAGAGCUGAAGUUAAGGGAAUGUAACGUCACCAAACGGAUGUGGCCUCAGCAAGUAACUUCAUAGCUGUGAGCUUUGGUUUGCUUUUUAGUGACAUGGAAAGGCCUGUAUGGUGAAAGUUUUCACUCAUUGCUUUGCCUAAGUCUUCUCAUUUUCACUUACUUCUUCCCAGUUUAUCCAGCUUUUCACAUAAAAGGAAAAUAAUAAAGCCAAAAUCCAAAACAUACAUAUUUUUCAGGGACACACCCUCAUGUACCAAUUGUGCAUAUAUCACUUCUUCCUGCUUAAAAAUGGAGAUUUCUUUUGAAGGGUUAUGUUUGAUUUUGAGCCAGAGUUUUCAGUAUGAAGAAGCUCUUUUUGGGCUUUUAGGACUUCAGGUAAUGCACAAAUUCUCAGGUGUCUCUCGCAGUCAGUGUUCUGCUGUAAAUCAGUGCAAGUCUCGGAUCUAGUUCAUGUCUGACCUUGUUUGGGCUCUGCAUAGUUUAGAACUUAGUCAUUUGCGUGGAGGAGAGAAAUGAAUCAUAUUGUUUAUUGUCAUAAUUAACAUGUGUUAUUAAAUUUGCAAAUGGCCACUAAUUGCCCAUGUACAGGGUCUAAGUAUGAAAACUGAAGAUUUCAAGGAGAAACCAGGAUGGAGUCAGUAAAGGCCUGAGAAGCUCUGCACAGAGUACAUGGUGGACGGCUGUGUUGAUUCAUGGAAUGAAGCACUGGGUGAAGUGAUAUUGAAUAUAGCUCACUCUCGAUGGCGUGAAAUUUUGUAGGCUAAUCUGGGGAUUAAUCAUAAAAAUGACUGAAGUCAGGCAUAAGGAGCCUAAACACUGUAAUUAGGAACUCAGUCCCAAGUAAAACUUUAAAGAGGCCAAGAAAAAGAGAAACGGAAAGUGAGGAGACACGAGUUUUGGAUGUGAGGAAUAAUCCUAGUCUAUCACGUGUGCUGUGCAUCCCUGGUACUGCAGAAGGUAUUUUAUGGCAGGUGGGUAGAAAGGAUUUUCCAGGAAAGGGGAGAAAAAGAGGAGGAGAAGGCAGGGGGCACACGAAGAACAUGCUCUGUUUCAAAAGUGAUGUCUGGUGGGACAUUGACAAUGGGCAAAACAGUUUUAUCUGUCCGCCUCCCACAUGUUUUCCUGGCAAUGAGUUUGUGUUUAACUUCAGAGGGGAAUUCCUUUCUCAAACAGAGACCUUGUAUCAUUAUUUUAAUUUUAUUGUUUUCAGAGACUAUGAAGGGCAUAAUAGAAAGAAUCCAGGGUUUGGAGAAAGGAGAUGUGUUUGAUUCCUGACUUUGAGACUGAUUAGUUUUUGUGAUUAUGGGAAAAUCACUUAAUCCCUCAAAGUCUCAGAUUGCUCAUUAAUAAAUAGGGAUGGUAACACCUGCUUUACCCGCCUCACUGAGACGCAAGGGUCCAGGGGGAGAAAGGAGACGUCAAUGUGCUUGGUCAACAGGAGAGAGCCACUUACAAAUAGCUGUUUAUAUUAUGACCAGGAUGCCAUUAACACGUCACAGUGUAUAUCUGAGUAUUUCCCAUUAUACGUAUGCACCUAGAAGCGCUGCUAUGGUUUUUGUUCAUUUUCUUCCUCUGGCUCUUUGCACUUUGUAGGAAAGAUCCUAAGAGUUAAUGCUGAAUUCCUAUGUGACAGAAGAGAAACAAUGGAGAUAAUUCAGAGCCUUGUCAUCAAGCUAACAAGGAGCUUCCAGAAAAUGCCGUGUGUGCACAUCUCCUGCAGCGGCUCCUCACUUUUCCCACGUCACUGACAUUUUGGGAGGAUCCGAUAAAGCUUAUGAAGCCUCUGCCCAAACAAGUGGCAUGUAUACCAUGGGGGCUCAUGGGCCACUUGGAGCUCAACUACGAAUCCACGAGUGGUUUAUGGCCCUCAGGUUAGAAAUUCUCUCCUCUUUGGAAUUUCUUUCACUGAAAGUGGAUGCACCUUCUGUCUCUUAUAUGGUCUGUGAGAGGGCAGAGGCAAUGCCAGAUUUGUUUAUCAGUGUUUUGGAUUUCCAGUAGCAAUCCCUGUGCUUACAUUAAGUACAUGCUUAUUGGAUGACUGUAAGGGAAUUAGCUCCACAAGUUAGUGCAAGUCUGGUUUAUAGGCCUCCUGCUUGCACAAUUUCCCUGUAUGAAUUAUUGGGCAUUUAUAUAGAGAAAGCGCUACAAGUUGUGAGAAAAAUGUCACAAACAUUCACAACAAAUCCUUAGGCAUUAAAAAUAUAUAUUUCUAAUUAAUAUAGGGAACAAAGAGCUUUGUGCUCUUAACAUAGAUAAAUUUGGUUACUGAUACAUUUAUUAACAUUGAAAGUUCAUUUCGAAGUGUAGAUGAACACAGUAUUAUUUCUACUAGACAUUUAGGGGAUUAAAAACAAUGAAAUAUAUAGCUGCAAGUCUCAGGCACAAGCACUCUUGGCUACUACAGAGAGGCAAAGAAAUUAGAAAAAAAAUCCUUUUCUUCCAAAGAGACAUAUUCUCUUCUUGUCAAGCCCAGGUCUAUUAACAUGGCAAAGGAAGAAACUUCACACAGCUCCUGCUUGCUUAAUGUCCACUUAGUGAUAAAUGGAGACCCCCCUUCUCUGGGGGUGUUAAUCUAGUUUCCCCAAAGGACUUACUCGUUUGGAAAAUGAGGAAAAUUAUGCAUUGAUUUAAAAUGGUUCUGGAAUGCAGAGGAGCGCCCCACUUUGUAUGAGACAAGAAUUCAGACAGUCACAGAUCAUCAGCAGAAGAGCACCUCAGUAAAUUAUCUUCCACACUUUUUCUAAUUUUCAUGAGCACUCCCACCCCCAACUCCCCACACACAAAUAAAUCACUGUGGGGAGAAAUCAUCAAGGGGAGUGAAAAAGAUUUAACUGCUUCAGACAGGAUAAAACACUACAAGACCCGCACAUAGGCAAGAAGCCUGGGGGAUGCUAAGCUCUGCAUCCCAUUAUGGGAUGUCAAGAUUUGCAUAAGGCAGACUAAUGUCUCAUACUUCAGUCUCGUUUCGAUGUGUCAGAGAAUAAAUGACGAUAAUGUUGGAACUUCUGUUUCAAACAUCAGGAGCAGAGAAUAGCAAUUUGCACACACCGUCCUGGAGCACAUCCCAGGUUUCCAUGAGUAAUUCAGGGGCAUUUGAGUCAUUGUAAAGCAUCCUGCAUCUUGUCGCUAAACAAUGAAUGGGUAACUGCACUUGAUUUGGCAUAGAAACAUCUGAAACCCAUAUGAUAUUGACUUAGGAUGCAAUUGCGUGUCUUUGAAUUUUGAUCUUUCAUAGUUAGUUCUACCUGAUAUAAUAUUUAGAAUCUUUUUUUUUUUUCUGUAGUAGAAGGGGCUGUCUGCAAGUGUUCCCUUGGAGAAAUUUGCAGAGUCACAUUGCUUGGUGGAAUGCUAGCCCAAGAAUUAUUUUGUUUGUGUCGUGAAAAAUGACGCCCUGGCUUCGAGAAUCAGGCUUUUGUCAUGAAUAGCAGCUUCAUGCUCGUGAAGACUGAAAUGGAUUGAUUGGUUUGAGUACUUAUUAAAAUGCCUUAAGAAUAAAUGUUUUUUUCUUCUUAAAGAACAUCUAUGAUAAAAUAUUUAUAAAUAUUUAAAUAUAUAUUAUUUAAAUGGUUUGACAUUGGUUUUCUUUUUUCUCUUUCUUUUUUUCUUUCUCUUUUUCUCUUUCUCUCUUUCUUUCUUUCUCUCUUCUUUCUUUCUUUCUGGGCAGUGUAUUGCUCUGUGGUCUAACCUGGAGUGUAGUGGAGCAACCACGGCCACUGUAGCCUCCACUUCCCAGGCUCAAGCGAUCUGCCCACCUCAGCCUCUCAAGUAGCUGGGACCGCAGGCACAUGCCACCAUGCCUGGCUAUUUUAUUAUCAUUAUUGUUUUUUUUGUAGAGACAAGGCCUGGUUAGCUACUUUGCCAGGGCUAGUCCUGAACACCUGGGCUCAAGCGAUCCUUCCACCUCAACCUCCCAAAGGGCUUGGAUUAUAGGCAUGAACCACCAUGCCUGGCUGAUUUGACAUUGGGAUGCACUUAAAAAUGAUCCAGUGCCAGAGGAGGGAAAUGGGCAGGAGUAGAGAUGAAAUAGGAUGGGCCACAGAGAAGGUUCAUUAAUCUAUUCUUUAUACUUUUGUCUAUGUUUGAAAUUUUCCAUAAGGAAAACUUGAAAAACAAUUAUUUUGUAAACAAAUGGCCCUAUGGAAUAAAAGUAUAUUGUAAAAAAAUUGUUUAUAAAAUACUCUCACUCCAAACUCAUAAUGUUCUUAUUCAGAAUAUUUAUGUAAUCAAAUAAAAUAUUUGAAAUUAAUAGUGACUUCCAUUUAGCUUAUGUGAUCCUUAUUAAGUAAAAAUGCCACAAGAGCUAGUUCUAUCAAAUAGAUUUGUAUGUCAAACUGCUCUUUUAUAGGUAAAUUUUACCUCAAACAACUAUUUAAUAGCCACCUACUAUAUGCAAAGAAAUACUGUACAUUACAGCUUUUUUGUUGACAUCAUUUUUAGUACCUGUUUAUAACUUAUAAGCUAAGGAUGCACUGUAUCAGAAUGUAAUAAAACUGAAUUUUUAAAAAAU
This 7498-nucleotide long non-coding RNA is filed under the name Homo sapiens (human). Its description in RNAcentral is "HSALNT0375162". Lineage: Eukaryota; Metazoa; Chordata; Mammalia; Primates; Hominidae. The record is from RNAcentral.